AGCAGUCGCCACGGGAAUACAGAGGGUGCGAGCGUUAAUCGGAUUUACUGGGCGUAAAGCGUGCGUAGGCGGCUUUUUAAGUCGGAUGUGAAAUCCCUGAGCUUAACUUAGGAAUUGCAUUCGAUACUGGGAAGCUAGAGUAUGGGAGAGGAUGGUAGAAUUCCAGGUGUAGCGGUGAAAUGCGUAGAGAUCUGGAGGAAUACCGAUGGCGAAGGCAGCCAUCUGGCCUAAUACUGACGCUGAGGUACGAAAGCAUGGGGAGCAAACAGGAUUAGAUACCCCGGUAGUCCCUGUCUCUUAUAA
Molecule: ribosomal RNA, 303 nt
Filed under: uncultured bacterium
Lineage: Bacteria
Description: partial 16S ribosomal RNA
Rfam family: Bacterial small subunit ribosomal RNA
Source: RNAcentral